AAAUAGCAUAAUAAAAAUCCAAACCAACCGACGCAAUUCAAGCUCAAUAUUCCAUAAAACAAAGAUUAAACACACCAAUACCCAGAAAACCCAAGUCAGGAAUCGAACACACAGCAGAGUCGCACCGACCAAAGGCGUAGGCUCAAAGUUCAAGAACUACUAAAAACGACUCAAAUCUGAAUCAAUUAAGAAAAAUGGGUUUCCAGAAAGAGAAAAACAAAGUUGCAGUGAAG
RNAcentral lists this unclassified non-coding RNA (233 nucleotides) under Hevea brasiliensis (rubber tree). The record is from RNAcentral. Lineage: Eukaryota; Viridiplantae; Streptophyta; Magnoliopsida; Malpighiales; Euphorbiaceae.